This 326-nucleotide ribosomal RNA is filed under the name uncultured eukaryote. RNAcentral describes it as "partial 18S ribosomal RNA". It matches the Rfam family "Eukaryotic small subunit ribosomal RNA", at positions 1470 to 1796 of the family's 1831-position model. The record is from RNAcentral.
CCCUUAGAUGUUCUGGGCCGCACGCGCGCUACACUGAUGAAUUCAACGAGCACUAACCUGUGCCGAAAGGUUCGGGUAAUCUUGUGAAAUUUCAUCGUGAUGGGGAUUGAUUAUUGCAAUUUUUAAUCAUAAACGAGGAAUGCCUAGUAAGCGUGAGUCAUCAGCUCACGUUGAUUACGUCCCUGCCCUUUGUACACACCGCCCGUCGCACCUACCGAUUGAAUGGUCCGGUGAAGCCUCGGGAUUGUGGCCAGUUCACUUUAUUGGGAGUUGGCUGUGAGAACUUGUCUAAACCUUAUCAUUUAGAGGAAGGUGAAGUCGUAACA